CCCACUAUGCUCAACCGUUAACAAAGAUGGGACCCACACCCCCCCAUUCGCCAGAGAAUUACGAGUAGUACUUAAAACUCAAAGGACUUGACGGUGUCCCAAACCAACCUAGAGGAGCCUGUCCUAUAAUCGAUGACCCGCGUUACACCUUACCCCCCCUUGAAAACAGUCUGUAUACCGCCGUCUACCAGUUCGCCUCAUGAUAGACUCACAGCGAACACGCCAGCCUGCCCCUCAGACGACAGGUCAAGGUGCAGCCAAUGGGGUGGACAGAGAUGGGCUACAUUUUCUAUACCACUAGAACAUCACCACCCGCCAAAUGAAACAUAGGCCAGAAGGCGGAUCUAGCAGUAAGCUGAAUAAGAACGUUCAACUGAAGCCUGCCCUGGGACGCGUACACACCGCCC
This 407-nucleotide ribosomal RNA is filed under the name Tarentola ephippiata (African wall gecko). Its description in RNAcentral is "partial 12S ribosomal RNA". It matches the Rfam family "Bacterial small subunit ribosomal RNA", at positions 786 to 1395 of the family's 1533-position model. The record is from RNAcentral. Lineage: Eukaryota; Metazoa; Chordata; Lepidosauria; Squamata; Phyllodactylidae.